GACGAACGCUGGCGGCGUGCUUAACACAUGCAAGUCGAACGGAAAGGCCCUGCUUGCAGGGUACUCGAGUGGCGAACGGGUGAGUAACACGUGGGUGAUCUGCCCUGCACUUCGGGAUAAGCCUGGGAAACUGGGUCUAAUACCGGAUAGGAGCCAUUUUUAGUGUGAUGGUUGGAAAGUUUUUUCGGUGUAGGGUGAGCUCGCGGCCUAUCAGCUUGUUGGUGGGGUAAUGGCCUACCAAGGCGGCGACGGGUAGCCGGCCUGAGAGGGUGGACGGCCACAUUGGGACUGAGAUGCGGCCCAGACUCCUACGGGAGGCAGCAGUGGGGAAUAUUGCACAAUGGGCGCAAGCCUGAUGCAGAGACGCCGCGUGGGGGAUGACGGCCUUCGGGUUGUAAACUCCUUUCGCUAGGGACGAAGCUUUUUGUGACGGUACCUAGAUAAGAAGCACCGGCUAACUACGUG
Molecule: ribosomal RNA, 465 nt
Filed under: uncultured bacterium
Lineage: Bacteria
Description: partial 16S ribosomal RNA
Rfam family: Bacterial small subunit ribosomal RNA
Source: RNAcentral